RNAcentral lists this ribosomal RNA (443 nucleotides) under uncultured bacterium. RNAcentral describes it as "partial 16S ribosomal RNA". It matches the Rfam family "Bacterial small subunit ribosomal RNA", at positions 338 to 795 of the family's 1533-position model. The record is from RNAcentral.
CCUACGGGAGGCAGCAGUGGGGAAUAUUGGACAAUGGGGGGAACCCUGAUCCAGCGACGCCGCGUGAGUGACGAAGUAUUUCGGUAUGUAAAGCUCUAUCAGCAGGGAAGAAAGAAAUGACGGUACCUGACUAAGAAGCCCCGGCUAACUACGUGCCAGCAGCCGCGGUAAUACGUAGGGGGUAAGCGUUAUCCGGAUUUACUGGGUGUAAGGGGAGCGUAGACGGCGAUGCAAGUCUGAAGUGAAAGGCGGGGGCCCAACCCCCGGACUGCUUUGGAAACUGUAUGGCUGGAGUGCAGGAGAGGUAAGUGGAAUUCCUAGUGUAGCGGUGAAAUGCGUAGGUAUUAGGAGGAACACCAGUGGCGAAGGCGGCUUACUGGACUGUAACUGACGUUGAGGCUCGAAAGCGUGGGGAGCAAACAGGAUUAGAUACCCUUGUAGUC